CUCCAAGGUCUCUAGCUGUCCUCUGGCUGCAUGGCCCACUUCAGCAUGAGGGCUGAGUCUCCAAGGGCAGUCCCAAGAGAACCAGCAGACACUGUCUCACCAUUUGUGACCCAGCCUCAGAAGCCACAUAGCAUCACUUACCUGGAGUGGCACGCAAGCCUGCCUAGAGUCAAGAGGAAGAAAGGAAACCCCAACUCUCAGCAGAAUUGCCAGAAUCUCCAUGUCAGAAGAGCACGUUUGGAGGCAGAUCCUGCUGCCAUCCACUUCGCAGAAUGCAGAGCGUGCCCGAGGAGAAGUGGGGUCUGGCUCAGCGUGUGGCUACCUGGACCAAUUCUGUCUGAUGGGGUGUGCAGUAGUGUCAUGAACUACUUCUAUCCCAGGAAGUAACUUGUAAAUGAGUGGAUGAGCCAAUUCUCCUUCUUUCUCUUCCUGCUGGCUGAAGUGUGGACAUGAUGGCAGGAGCUGCAGCAGUCACAUUGGACCAUGGGUCAUCGUGGGAAUGGAAGUCACACAAGGGUAUUUAAAGCCACACAAGGAUAAUGAGCACUGGAUAGAUGGAGCCCGAGUCCCCAUCACAGUGUAGCCCCUGUAACAGAUCUAGACUUCCUGCCUCCCACAUUGAGUAAACUGCUCUCUUGCUUAAGCCACUAUUAUGUUAGGAUUUUUUCAACCCAUAGUCAGAGAUAGUCCUAACUGAUUCACCACCCUCAGAGAGUUUACAGCCAAUUAUGUUUCUCAUGAAAAAGGUUAGCCAGUGGUUGUAAGUGAUCCCGGACUGGAGCGCCAGCUGCACUAAGGCAGUUCGUCUGUGGGAUGGCUCUGUCCUUGUCAGGGAGAGGACCCCUCCUACACACUGGCAUGUUACCACAAGUACAGUGGUAACUAAGCAGGUCGGCAUAGGUGCCCACAGAGCAGACUGAACACCCCGUUUGCUUCCCUCUCCUCUCCGAACUCCCUGGACAUGGCCAAGUAGCAUAAGCCAAGCAGAGGUGAGAAGGAGAGUGGGGCACAGGCAAGUUACCAGUGGGCCCGCGGCUAUCAUGGACUUCCAGAAAAUAAAAAACAGGCAUGAUGGUGUUGGUUUAUAAACCAAAGCAGAGGGCACUGGAGCCCCGUAAGUGUGCAGGAGUGAAUGUAUGUGGCAGGGAGAAGGGUAGAAGGGAGGAGGUUGGGUAGAAGGCUACCUCUACCAGCUGGAAAUGAGUGGUGAAGUCAGCUGGACUUCUGGGUGGGGCGGGGACUUGGAGAACUUUUCUGUCUUACAAAGGGAUUGUAAAAUGCACAAAUCAGCACUCUGUAGAUAGGAUUGUAAAACGCACCAAUCAGCUCUCUGUGGCUAGCUAGAGGUUUCUAAAAUGGACCAAUCAGUGCUUUGUAAAGUGGACCAAUCAGAACACUGUAAAAUGGACCAAUUAGUGCUCUGUAAAAUGGACCAAUCAGACCAAUCAGCACUCUGUAAAAUGGACCAAUCAGCAGGACAUGGGUGGGGACAAAUAAGGGAAUAAAAGCUGGCCACCCUCCAGUCAGCAGCAGGCAACCCACUGGGUCCCCAUCCCUGUUGUGGUGUAUUUGUUAUUUUGCUCUUGGCAAUAAAUCUUGCUGCUGC
Molecule: long non-coding RNA, 1606 nt
Filed under: Homo sapiens (human)
Lineage: Eukaryota; Metazoa; Chordata; Mammalia; Primates; Hominidae
Description: non-protein coding lnc-KLF13-2:12
Source: RNAcentral